UGGGGAAUAUUGCACAAUGGGCGCAAGCCUGAUGCAGCCAUGCCGCGUGUAUGAAGAAGGCCUUCGGGUUGUAAAGUACUUUCAGCGGGGAGGAAGGUGCUGAGGUUAAUAACCUCAGCAAUUGACGUUACCCGCAGAAGAAGCACCGGCUAACUCCGUGCCAGCAGCCGCGGUAAUACGGAGGAUGCAAGCGUUAAUCGGAAUUACUGGGCGUAAAGCGCACGCAGGCGGUCUGUCAAGUCGGAUGUGAAAUCCCCGGGCUCAACCUGGGAACUGCAUUCGAAACUGGCAGGCUAGAGCCUUGUAGAGGGGGGUAGAAUUCCAGGUGUAGCGGUGAAAUGCGUAGAGAUCUGGAGGAAUACCGGUGGCGAAGGCGGCCCCCUGGACAAAGACUGACGCUCAGGUGCGAAAGCGUGGGGAGCAAACAGG
This 429-nucleotide ribosomal RNA is filed under the name uncultured Enterobacter sp. RNAcentral describes it as "bacterial SSU rRNA". It matches the Rfam family "Bacterial small subunit ribosomal RNA", at positions 355 to 776 of the family's 1533-position model. Lineage: Bacteria; Pseudomonadati; Pseudomonadota; Gammaproteobacteria; Enterobacterales; Enterobacteriaceae. The record is from RNAcentral.